RNAcentral lists this ribosomal RNA (427 nucleotides) under uncultured bacterium. Its description in RNAcentral is "partial 16S ribosomal RNA". It matches the Rfam family "Bacterial small subunit ribosomal RNA", at positions 355 to 774 of the family's 1533-position model. The record is from RNAcentral.
UGGGGAAUUUUGGACAAUGGGGGAAACCCUGAUCCAGCCAUCCCGCGUGUGCGAUGAAGGCCUUCGGGUUGUAAAGCACUUUUGGCAGGAAAGAAACGUCAUGGGUUAAUACCCCGUGAAACUGACGGUACCUGCAGAAUAAGCACCGGCUAACUACGUGCCAGCAGCCGCGGUAAUACGAAGGGUGCAAGCGUUAAUCGGAAUUAAUGGGCGUAAAGCGUGCGCAGGCGGUUCGGAAAGAAAGAUGUGAAAUCCCAGAGCUUAACUUUGGAACUGCAUUUUUAACUACCGGGCUAGAGUGUGUCAGAGGGAGGUGGAAUUCCGCGUGUAGCAGUGAAAUGCGUAGAUAUGCGGAGGAACACCGAUGGCGAAGGCAGCCUCCUGGGAUAACACUGACGCUCAUGCACGAAAGCGUGGGGAGCAAACA